AGCGAACGCUGGCGGCAGGCCUAACACAUGCAAGUCGAACGACCCUUUCGUGGUUAGUUGCUGUCGCGUGUGUCACACGUGGGACCGUUCCUUUAUGUUCCGAAUUCUUCAUGUACACUUGUGCUAAUACCGAAUGUGCCCUUCUAGUACAAGAUUAAUCGUCUUUAGAGCGGCCGGCGUCGGAUUAGCUAUUUGGUUGAGGUAAUGGCUCAUCAAGGCGACGAUCAGUAGCUGGUCUGGGAGGAUGAGCAGCCACAUUGGUACGGAGACACAGCCCAAAAUAUUACGGGAGGGAGGAGUGGGGAAUCUUGCGAAAUGGGGGAAAGGCUGAAGGAGUCAUGGCGGGUGAAUGAUGAAGGUGUUAGGAAAGAAAAAUUCUUUAAUCGGGGACGAUAAUGACGGUACCCGGAGAAGAAGCCCCGGCUAACUUCGUG
This 434-nucleotide ribosomal RNA is filed under the name uncultured bacterium. RNAcentral describes it as "partial 16S ribosomal RNA". It matches the Rfam family "Bacterial small subunit ribosomal RNA", at positions 29 to 507 of the family's 1533-position model. The record is from RNAcentral.